UGGAAAAACACCAGAGGAAAUCGAAGCUGACAUCCGAUGACCUAAAUAUUUUAGUCCUAGUGAAGCGGUUGAGUAUGGUAUCAUAGACAAGGUGCUAUACAAUGAGAGGAGCAGUGAAGAUCAUGGAGUUGUAUCUGACCU
Long non-coding RNA from Eucalyptus grandis, 141 nucleotides. RefSeq lists it as uncharacterized. The record is from RefSeq and is a predicted model, not a curated record. The transcript has 2 exons. Lineage: Eukaryota; Viridiplantae; Streptophyta; Magnoliopsida; Myrtales; Myrtaceae.